GACCAGACUCCUACGGGAGGCAGCAGUGGGGAAUAUUGCACAAUGGGGGAAACCCUGAUGCAGCGACGCCGCGUGAGUGAAGAAGUAUUUCGGUAUGUAAAGCUCUAUCAGCAGGGAAGAAAAUGACGGUACCUGACUAAGAAGCCCCGGCUAACUAUGUGCCAGCAGCCGCGGUAAUACGUAGGGGGCAAGCGUUAUCCGGAUUUACUGGGUGUAAAGGGAGCGUAGACGGCAUGGCAAGUCAGAUGUGAAAGCCCGGGGCUCAACCCCGGGACUGCAUUUGAAACUGUCAGGCUGGAGUGCAGGAGAGGUAAGUGGAAUUCCUAGUGUAGCGGUGAAAUGCGUAGAUAUUAGGAGGAACACCAGUGGCGAAGGCGGCUUACUGGACUGUAACUGACGUUGAGGCUCGAAAGCGUGGGGAGCAAACAGGAUUAGAUACCCCAGUA
RNAcentral lists this ribosomal RNA (446 nucleotides) under uncultured bacterium. Its description in RNAcentral is "bacterial SSU rRNA". It matches the Rfam family "Bacterial small subunit ribosomal RNA", at positions 329 to 792 of the family's 1533-position model. The record is from RNAcentral.